RNAcentral lists this transfer RNA (87 nucleotides) under Candidatus Nealsonbacteria bacterium CG_4_10_14_0_8_um_filter_37_14. RNAcentral describes it as "tRNA-Leu". It matches the Rfam family "tRNA". From Rfam's summary of the family: Transfer RNA (tRNA) molecules are approximately 80 nucleotides in length. Their secondary structure includes four short double-helical elements and three loops (D, anti-codon, and T loops). The record is from RNAcentral. Lineage: Bacteria; Candidatus Nealsoniibacteriota. RNAcentral also lists the same sequence under 3 other names.
GCGCGGGUGGUGAAACUGGCAAACACGCCACUUUGAGGUGGUGGUGCCCGUAAAGGCUUGGAGGUUCAAAUCCUCUCCCGCGCACUA